Bubalus bubalis (water buffalo) is the source of this 1307-nucleotide long non-coding RNA. RefSeq lists it as uncharacterized. The record is from RefSeq and is a predicted model, not a curated record. The transcript has 3 exons. NCBI's taxonomy places the organism in Eukaryota, Metazoa, Chordata, Mammalia, Artiodactyla, Bovidae.
GAGAUGAGCAAGUCAGAUCCUAUAAGACAGUGUAAAUUCAUUCUAGCACACACUCUCUGCUAAGUUGUUGGAUGUCAUGAAUGAGGAAGGAACAAUCCUUUUUUAAAAAAAUUAAGGGUGAGAGUCACAGGAUGAAACCUAAGCAUUGCCAAGAUGAUAAUAAUUACCUGUUACAUGGGAACUUUGGGGAAAGCCAGAUGGUUCAAGGGCUUAAAGUAAACAUUAUAAAAUAAAUUUUAGUUAAGAUGUUCAAGAUUAUCCUUUCAUAUUUUAUGGCUGUGUGGUCUGCCUAGUCAAGGUGGCCGUUCUCUUGUUUUCUGUGCAUCCCCUGCUCAACUACUGCCUGCUUCACCUAUAGCCUACUCAGGUGAAUAUCCCAGGACCCAGCUGGGGAUUGUUCUUACCAAAGGGGCCAUGAGGUGCAUGCACCUCUGCUUGCUGGUUUCCCUGGUAACUAAUGAGCCCAUUUUAUGUAAUUUGAAAUUCCCCAUAUAACUGGCAAUCUUCCCCCUUCCCCCCAGCAACAGAGUAAGACUGUCACUGUGUACUGUUCGCAGAUAGCUGCAGUAGGUGGAUUUCUCUCCAGGAACUUGCUUCAGACAGCUCCUGGAUUCCUGGAUUCGCCUUCCUGGAUUCCUCACUGGACAUGCUAUAUCUUCUGGGACUAGGACACUGGGAUUUCCCUUGCUCAGUUCAUGCUGGAAGCUGAAGAUGAGCAGGGGGAAGAAUGGAUAGAUUGCCAGCAGCCUUAAUAUAAGAUCAAAAUCAGAUCCUUAUUCUGCAAUCACUCUUUUGUACCUGUGCCGGCAUAUACUGGGUAAUAUUUGGCCCUUCCCAUGGGCUUCCCUGGUGGCUCAUGUGGUAAAGAAUCUGCCUACAAUAUGGGAGACCUGGGUUCGAUCCCUGGGUUUGGAAGAUCCCCUGGGGGAGGGCACAGCAACCCACUCCAGUAUUCUUGCCUGGAGAAUCUCCAUGGACAGAGGAGCCUGGUGAGCUACAGUCCAUGGGGUUGCAAACAGUCGGACAUGAUUGAAUGACUAAGCACAUCACAAAAUAGUGAAGAAGUUUGGAGCACAGGGAUUUGGAGCUAGGGAAUUAUUCUGGCUGAUGUUUUGCCACAAGUAAUAAAUUGUCUAUGUCUCUAAUCUAGAAGUCUUAUGUCUUGCAAGAAAGGUAAAUAACUUGAAUCUUUCACAGUUCCUGAAUCAACAGACCCUCUCUAGCAUUCUAACCUAAUCUGCAACCUUUAUUUUUAAUUAUCUGAGCAUUGUACUCGCUACUCAUUAGACCAUUUUCCUUUAUACUGG